Molecule: ribosomal RNA, 250 nt
Filed under: uncultured bacterium
Lineage: Bacteria
Description: partial 16S ribosomal RNA
Rfam family: Bacterial small subunit ribosomal RNA
Source: RNAcentral
UACGGAGGGUGCGAGCGUUAAUCGGAAUCACUGGGCGUAAAGGGCGCGUAGGCGGCCAACUAAGUCAGACGUGAAAUCCCCAGGCUUAACCUGGGAACUGCGUCUGAUACUGGAUGGCUUGAAUUCGGGAGAGGGAUGCAGAAUUCCAGGUGUAGCGGUGAAAUGCGUAGAUAUCUGGAGGAAUACCGGUGGCGAAGGCGGCAUCCUGGACCGGCAUUGACGCUGAGGAGCGAAAGCCAGGGGAGCAAAC